RNAcentral lists this ribosomal RNA (164 nucleotides) under uncultured bacterium. RNAcentral's name for it is "partial 16S rRNA". It matches the Rfam family "Bacterial small subunit ribosomal RNA", at positions 355 to 511 of the family's 1533-position model. The record is from RNAcentral.
UGGGGAAUAUUGGACAAUGGGCGAAAGCCUGAUCCAGCCAUGCCGCGUGUGUGAAGAAGGUCUUCGGAUUGUAAAGCACUUUAAGUUGGGAGGAAGGGCAGUAAGCUAAUACCUUGCUGUUUUGACGUUACCGACAGAAUAAGCACCGGCUAACUCUGUGCAAG